CCUACGGGGGGCAGCAGUGAGGAAUAUUGGUCAAUGGGCGGGAGCCUGAACCAGCCAAGUCGCGUGAGGGACGACGGUCCUAUGGAUUGUAAACCUCUUUUGUCGGGGAACAAAGGCGCCCACGGGUGGGCGGAUGAGUGUACCCGAAGAAAAAGCAUCGGCUAACUCCGUGCCAGCAGCCGCGGUAAUACGUAGGGAGCGAGCGUUGUCCGGAUUUACUGGGUGUAAAGGGUGCGUAGGCGGCUUGGCAAGUCAGUAGUGAAAUCCAUGGGCUUAACCCAUGAACUGCUAUUGAAACUGUCGAGCUUGAGUGAAGUAGAGGGAGGCGGAAUUCCCGGUGUAGCGGUGAAAUGCGUAGAGAUCGGGAGGAACACCAGUGGCGAAGGCGGCCUACUGGGCUUUAACUGACGCUGAGGCACGAAAGCGUGGGUAGCAAACAGGAUUAGAUACCCUUGUAGUC
RNAcentral lists this ribosomal RNA (460 nucleotides) under uncultured bacterium. Its description in RNAcentral is "partial 16S ribosomal RNA". It matches the Rfam family "Bacterial small subunit ribosomal RNA", at positions 338 to 795 of the family's 1533-position model. The record is from RNAcentral.